UACGAAGGGUGCAAGCGUUAAUCGGAAUUACUGGGCGUAAAGCGUGCGCAGGCGGUUUUGCAAGACAGAUGUGAAAUCCCCGGGCUUAACCUGGGAACUGCAUUUGUGACUGCAAGGCUAGAGUGUGUCAGAGGGAGGUGGAAUUCCGCGUGUAGCAGUGAAAUGCGUAGAGAUGCGGAGGAACACCGAUGGCGAAGGCAGCCUCCUGGGAUAACACUGACGCUCAUGCACGAAAGCGUGGGGAGCAAACAGG
Molecule: ribosomal RNA, 253 nt
Filed under: uncultured bacterium
Lineage: Bacteria
Description: partial 16S ribosomal RNA
Rfam family: Bacterial small subunit ribosomal RNA
Source: RNAcentral